AUGCGUGAGAAAAUCCCCUCUCUUUAGUAGCAAUAUCCGAUAGUCGGAGACGUUCGGCCAUUUCUGUUCUGUUCGUUCUGGUGACGAUUUGGCGGUAUGGUUAACGGAAGAAUUCCAUCGGUCUUCUCCAAGACCUACGUCACUCCUAGAAGACCGUACGAGAAAGCUCGUCUCGAUCAGGAGUUACGCAUCAUCGGAGAAUACGGUCUCCGUAAUAAACGCGAAGUAUGGAGGGUGAAAUAUACUCUGGCCAAGAUCCGUAAGGCCGCUCGUGAGUUGCUCACGUUGGAAGAGAAAGACCCGAAACGUCUCUUCGAAGGAAAUGCCUUGCUGCGUCGGUUGGUAAGGAUUGGUGUAUUGAAUGAAGCUCACAUGAAGCUCGAUUAUGUGUUGGGUUUGAAGAUCGAGGACUUUCUGGAACGACGUCUACAGACUCAAGUAUUCAAACUAGGUCUAGCUAAAUCCAUUCAUCAUGCCCGCGUGCUUAUUCGCCAACGGCAUAUUCGGUAUCAGGACAGUGGCACCUGGUCGAUCGGACCUGAUUGAUUGCGUUCAGUAUCAAGAAUUUGCUUGUUAACUUAACGAAAAUUUUAUUCGCGCAGGCCACUUAAGUGUAGUUUAUCGACACUUAACGCCUGUUUGAACUAUCGAGAUUCUUCAUUUUCAUCAAAAAAAAAGGGGGAGAAGUUCUGAGUGCGCAAACAGGUGGUAAAUAUUCCGUCGUUUAUCGUGCGAUUAGACUCGCAGAAGCACAUCGACUUCUCGCUGAAAUCGCCCUUCGGCGGUGGCAGACCCGGCCGUGUCAAGAGGAAGAAUUUGAGGAAAGGAAGCGGUGGAGCCGCGCCUGAAGAGGAAGAAGAUUAAAA
Molecule: unclassified non-coding RNA, 866 nt
Organism: Pogonomyrmex barbatus (red harvester ant)
Lineage: Eukaryota; Metazoa; Arthropoda; Insecta; Hymenoptera; Formicidae
Source: RefSeq, a predicted model, not a curated record